This is a small nucleolar RNA of Heterocephalus glaber (naked mole-rat), 124 nucleotides long. Lineage: Eukaryota; Metazoa; Chordata; Mammalia; Rodentia; Bathyergidae. The record is from Ensembl.
AGAGCUCAUUUGUGUUUGUUCAACUUGUGGACAGACUUACAGAUAAGUGCGAAAAGUAAAUCCUCUUUUGCAACCCAGAAUUUAUUGUUCAGUAUGGGUUUUGAUGUGUAUAAGAAGGAAUGUG